This 421-nucleotide ribosomal RNA is filed under the name uncultured bacterium. RNAcentral describes it as "bacterial SSU rRNA". It matches the Rfam family "Bacterial small subunit ribosomal RNA", at positions 355 to 775 of the family's 1533-position model. The record is from RNAcentral.
UCGAGAAUCUUCGGCAAUGGGCGCAAGCCUGACCGAGCGACGCCGCGUGCGGGAUGAAGGCCUUCGGGUUGUAAACCGCUGUCGUAGGGGAGGAAGCAACCGUGUAGAACGGAAGUUGACCGAUCCUAGGAGGAAGGGCCGGCUAAUCUCGUGCCAGCAGCCGCGGUAAUACGAGAGGCCCAAACGUUAUUCGGAUUUACUGGGCUUAAAGAGUUCGUAGGCGGCGCAGAAAGUGGGGUGUGAAAACCCUCGGCUCAACCGAGGAAUUGCGCUCCAAACUACUGUGCUAGAGGAAGCUAGAGGUGAGCGGAACUGAUGGUGGAGCGGUGAAAUGCGUUGAUAUCAUCAGGAACACCGGAGGCGAAGGCGGCUCACUGGGGCUUUGCUGACGCUGAGGAACGAAAGCCAGGGGAGCGAACGG